CUCCUGAUGACAUCAUCAAGCUGAGUCCGUCUGCUCUCUUUCCUGUUGAUGAAAGGACUUUCCUUUUGUCUUUUGUUUCAACAACAAAUGGGUCAAGGGCAUCUCCAAACAGCUUCUCACUGGUACAUGGGGCAGUAGCUAAUUUCCACUUCCGUCGAGGCUCCGCUUGCCAAUUUCGUAGCCAUAGCAGUCUCCUAGCUGCCACUGAUGACGCCAUGGCCCUGGAAGAGAACUUGGUGGCGUUGAGGGUGGCAUCCACCGAG
Molecule: non-coding RNA, 263 nt
Organism: Notechis scutatus (mainland tiger snake)
Lineage: Eukaryota; Metazoa; Chordata; Lepidosauria; Squamata; Elapidae
Source: RefSeq, a predicted model, not a curated record